This 464-nucleotide ribosomal RNA is filed under the name Clostridium sp. PCP02. RNAcentral's name for it is "bacterial SSU rRNA". It matches the Rfam family "Bacterial small subunit ribosomal RNA", at positions 997 to 1459 of the family's 1533-position model. Lineage: Bacteria; Bacillati; Bacillota; Clostridia; Eubacteriales; Clostridiaceae. The record is from RNAcentral.
UCUCCAUAAAUCGGAGAAGUACCUUCGGGGACAGUGGUGACAGGUGGUGCAUGGUUGUCGUCAGCUCGUGUCGUGAGAUGUUGGGUUAAGUCCCGCAACGAGCGCAACCCUUGCCUUUAGUUGCCAGCAUUAAGUUGGGCACUCUAGAGGGACUGCCGAGGAUAACUCGGAGGAAGGUGGGGAUGACGUCAAAUCAUCAUGCCCCUUAUGCUUAGGGCUACACACGUGCUACAAUGGGUGGUACAGAGGGUUGCCAAGCCGCGAGGUGGAGCUAAUCCCUUAAAGCCAUUCUCAGUUCGGAUUGUAGGCUGAAACUCGCCUACAUGAAGCUGGAGUUACUAGUAAUCGCAGAUCAGAAUGCUGCGGUGAAUGCGUUCCCGGGUCUUGUACACACCGCCCGUCACACCAUGGAAGUUGGGGGCGCCCGAAGCCGGUUAGCUAACCUUUUAGGAAGCGGCCGUCGA